CACGGGUAAUCCUAGCGUAUGUGGCGCAGGGAGCCCUGUGGACGCACAACUGCUCCUGAGGUGUUGAGAAGGGCUGCCAACUGCGUCGGCCAUUUGUCUACUGCCUCCCCCUGCAUUCUUACUUCUACAGAUUGUAGUUUGGAUUCUAUCGUGCACCGCCACCUCUCAUCCUCUUGCUCCUUUCUUCGGUUCUAGCUUGUGUACUUGUCCAAGUCGCCAUGGAAUGCGAACUUCCACGGAACAAGCCCAAACCCUCGGGUACGUCCUGGGUGUUCGGGAUUCCCGAGGGUCAUUGUGAGCUCAUCAUUCUCUCAGCACACCGUCAACGUCCCAUCCUUAACAUCUUUAAUAAUCUUGUCAAGCUUUGUGGCCGCUUCACGUAACAGGUCAUCGAAGACCAGCGUCCAUCAUCUGGGUUUAUCUCACCUCCAUGAGCGUAAUACCAAUUUUUCGAUCGUUCAGACCAAUCAAUUAUUCUUGGUACGAUACCCCGCUCAAUUAGGUCUUUCUCCAUCUGAUUCCACUUGGGAAUUGCUUUGGCGUAACCACCUCACCCUAGCUUAUGAUAGUACUCCUUCC
RNAcentral lists this long non-coding RNA (579 nucleotides) under Setaria viridis. RNAcentral describes it as "long non-coding RNA (SVIR_LNC007281)". The record is from RNAcentral. Lineage: Eukaryota; Viridiplantae; Streptophyta; Magnoliopsida; Poales; Poaceae.